This is a long non-coding RNA of Pomacea canaliculata, 472 nucleotides long. RefSeq lists it as uncharacterized. NCBI's taxonomy places the organism in Eukaryota, Metazoa, Mollusca, Gastropoda, Architaenioglossa, Ampullariidae. The transcript is spliced from 3 exons. The record is from RefSeq and is a predicted model, not a curated record.
GGUGUGAGUAGAAAAGAGAGGGGCUGGAUUGGAGUUCCACGCCAAUGACUACGGGUAUAUCACGGCAAGGCAGCUAGUCCUGUAAUCAGAUUCCACAUGCUGAGAGCGCAGAGAAGAGGACAACACUGAACUUUAUUGGACUCUUCUUUACAGGUCAUCAUGCAGUCCUUGAGUUUACAAGAUCGGAAGGUUAUUAGCCAGAUCUUCAUAGAACUAGAUGCGGACGGAAAUGGAUACCUUGACCGACAGGAGUUUGGAACUUGCUUCCGCAGACUUGGCUUCAAACUGACUGCUGUGCAGGAGGAGGGUCUGUUCAGAGCUGUGGAUGCAAAUAUGGAUGGAAGGUCACUCUCGAUGAAUUCUUAGAGGUAUUCACUCAGGCCCAAGAAAGUGAACCAGCUCUCAGCACGCAAGCAGAACUACGGCGUGCAUUUGAGGAGAUGGAUGUCAAUGGGGAUGGCUACUUGAGCUC